This is a long non-coding RNA of Triticum aestivum (bread wheat), 1416 nucleotides long. RefSeq lists it as uncharacterized. The record is from RefSeq and is a predicted model, not a curated record. The transcript has 4 exons. NCBI's taxonomy places the organism in Eukaryota, Viridiplantae, Streptophyta, Magnoliopsida, Poales, Poaceae.
CAGCUGCAGCGAAAAGACAACAGAGCCAUGGGUGCCGAGGGCGGGCACUGGUGGUCGGCAGAAGGCGCUGUGGAGGUGCUCGCUGCUGCCCGGCUCUACUUGCACGCCACCAGGCACGGGAAUGAGUUUGCACCUACUGUUGGAUUCUUCCUUACUACCCACCCGUCUUAGGAAAACACAUACUCUAAAGCAGUAAAACGUUUCGAGUUCUAUGAUCAGCUUGAACAAUACAAUUUGGAUUCUUUUGGAGACUGGGAACAACUUUCAAGCUACUUGUCACAAAGUUUCAUUGAACGCCUUGAGCCAACUGGUGGAGAAAUUACAAUUGCAUUGGAGACAUCAUGGUUGGAUAGAGCUCCCCAAACAGAUAUGGAGAGAUGAUUGAUAGAACAACUUAGAGAAGACAAAUUUGCAAAGAAAGGGCUUGUACAGCCCGAGAGGAGAGGAUGCUAUUACACAACUAUCCCCGCUUCAGUUAAGCACAGAAACACUGCUGCGGAUGAGGCGGGUGUGGAGGUCGCAGAGGAGGAUGGGGACGUGCUCACGAAGCCCUAGAGAAACAUGAGCUCAUGGGUGCCGACCUCCAUCACCCCCCUGAUGCUAUGCAGAGUGAAGGCGAAGAGCUAGCGGGGAGGACACCAACUGCCUCUUCAUAAAUUUACUCUGCGUCAUCGUUCAUGUGGACGAGGCCGGAAGAACCGAAGGUGUUGGCGGAAUUUGAGGAGGACGAGACGACAGGGAUGAUGAUGGCAUCAUUGUUGUUUGUAAUUGAGAGCAUCACGGUGGUGGGUACUGCGUGUGGGGGAGGAAGGAGGUGAGUCGGCUGGGUGCACUCCUACUGGUGCUAUCGAUGGCGGCACUAUGCUUCAGCCUUGUAGCGGCAAUGUUGGAGGCAACGAAUGGUAGUGUGCUAUUGCUGGCAUGGUUUAGAUUCUGCCAGCCACUGGGUGCACAACUAGGUGACAUUCCUGGAAGGGAUGUGCUACAUGCCCGACUGUGAUGACGAUCGCGUCUACUACGUAUGUUUCAUCACUGCAGCGGUUCGAGCACAUUGACCGAUUCAACCCCAAUGAUCACUAUGCCAAGCCCAACCUCGUCUUCUUCAUACUUGUGUGCCCUUUAGGGUCCCAUGUAUGUCUGGCACGAGUUGCAUAUAGGUUCAGUCAGCCUACAGCGUGCCUACGUGCACCAGUGUUGGAUUGGAGGAAGGUCAAGUUGUUCGAGAAAGCCCAACCAUGGGGAACAAGACACAUAAGGAGAGUGACCAAUGAGAGGAUGACCAUAACCAUUUUGGUGACAAAAAUUAUUUGGAGUUGAUGCUUUCUUUUCUUCUCUAUGCACAGAGUGUUUACUUUCUUGAGCUAUAGUUUUGGAUUGUCAGCAUUUGACCCAUGUUAAGGCAAAAAAAUUGUCCCA